RNAcentral lists this ribosomal RNA (910 nucleotides) under uncultured bacterium. Its description in RNAcentral is "bacterial SSU rRNA". It matches the Rfam family "Bacterial small subunit ribosomal RNA", at positions 8 to 916 of the family's 1533-position model. The record is from RNAcentral.
AGAGUUUGAUCCUGGCUCAGAUUGAACGCUGGCGGCAUGCUUUACACAUGCAAGUCGAACGGCAGCGCGGGGCAACCUGGCGGCGAGUGGCGAACGGGUGAGUAAUAUAUCGGAACGUACCCAAGAGUGGGGGAUAACGUAGCGAAAGUUACGCUAAUACCGCAUACGAUCCAAGGAUGAAAGCAGGGGAUCUUCGGACCUUGUGCUCCUGGAGCGGCCGAUAUCUGAUUAGCUAGUUGGUGAGGUAAAGGCUCACCAAGGCCACGAUCAGUAGCUGGUCUGAGAGGACGACCAGCCACACUGGAACUGAGACACGGUCCAGACUCCUACGGGAGGCAGCAGUGGGGAAUUUUGGACAAUGGGCGAAAGCCUGAUCCAGCAAUGCCGCGUGAGUGAAGAAGGCCUUCGGGUUGUAAAGCUCUUUUGUCAGGGAAGAAACGGUGAGGGCUAAUAUCCUUCACUAAUGACGGUACCUGAAGAAUAAGCACCGGCUAACUACGUGCCAGCAGCCGCGGUAAUACGUAGGGUGCAAGCGUUAAUCGGAAUUACUGGGCGUAAAGCGUGCGCAGGCGGUUUUGUAAGUCUGACGUGAAAUCCCCGGGCUCAACCUGGGAAUUGCGUUGGAGACUGCAAGGCUAGAAUCUGGCAGAGGGGGGUAGAAUUCCACGUGUAGCAGUGAAAUGCGUAGAGAUGUGGAGGAACACCGAUGGCGAAGGCAGCCCCCUGGGUCAAGAUUGACGCUCAUGCACGAAAGCGUGGGGAGCAAACAGGAUUAGAUACCCUGGUAGUCCACGCCCUAAACGAUGUCUACUAGUUGUCGGGUUUUAAUUAACUUGGUAACGCAGCUAACGCGUGAAGUAGACCGCCUGGGGAGUACGGUCGCAAGAUUAAAACUCAAAUGAAUUGACGG